This 428-nucleotide ribosomal RNA is filed under the name uncultured soil bacterium. Its description in RNAcentral is "bacterial SSU rRNA". It matches the Rfam family "Bacterial small subunit ribosomal RNA", at positions 26 to 443 of the family's 1533-position model. The record is from RNAcentral.
AGGACGAACGCUGGCGGUGCGCCUAACACAUGCAAGUCGAACGGUGAACCGGGCUUCGGCCCGGGGAUCAGUGGCGAACGGGUGCGUAACACGUGGGCAACCUGCCCCCGACCCUGGGAUAACCCCCGGGAAACCGGAGCUAAUACCGGAUACUCUCCUCCGACCACAUGGUCAGAAGAGGAAAGGUCCGCCGGUCGGGGAUGGGCCCGCGGCCUAUCAGCUUGUUGGUGGGGUAACGGCCUACCGAAGGCGACGACGGGUAGCUGGUCUGAGAGGACGACCAGCCACACUGGGACUGAGACACGGCCCAGACUCCUACGGGAGGCAGCAGUGGGGAAUCGUUGCGCAAGUGGGCGAAGCCUGACGCAGCGACACCGCGGUGGGGAUGGAAGGUCCUUUCGACGGUUCCGUAAACCCCGUUUCGGACG